UGCCGCGUGAGUGAUGAAGGCCUUAGGGUCGUAAAGCUCUUUCGCCUGUGAUGAUAAUGACAGUAGCAGGUAAAGAAACCCCGGCUAACUCCGUGCCAGCAGCCGCGGUAAUACGGAGGGGGUUAGCGUUGUUCGGAAUUACUGGGCGUAAAGCGCGCGUAGGCGGAUUAGAAAGUUGGGGGUGAAAUCCCGGGGCUCAACCUCGGAACUGCCUCCAAAACUGCUAGUCUAGAGUUCGAGAGAGGUGAGUGGAAUUCCGAGUGUAGAGGUGAAAUUCGUAGAUAUUCGGAGGAACACCAGUGGCGAAGGCGGCUCACUGGCUCGAUACUGACGCUGAGGUGCGAAAGUGUGGGGAGCAAACAGGAUUAGAUACCCUGGUAGUCCACACCGUAAACGAUGAAUGCCAGUCGUCGGGUAGUAUACUAUUCGGUGACACACCUAACGGAUUAAGCAUUCCGCCUGGGGAGUACGGUCGCAAGA
RNAcentral lists this ribosomal RNA (480 nucleotides) under uncultured Roseobacter sp. RNAcentral describes it as "bacterial SSU rRNA". It matches the Rfam family "Bacterial small subunit ribosomal RNA", at positions 395 to 893 of the family's 1533-position model. The record is from RNAcentral. Lineage: Bacteria; Pseudomonadati; Pseudomonadota; Alphaproteobacteria; Rhodobacterales; Roseobacteraceae.